AUCAAAUGAAGAAAAGCUUACGGUGGAUACCUAGGCAUCCAGAGACGAUGAAGGGCGUGGAAACCGACGAAACGCUUCGAGGAGUUGGAAACAAGCUAUGAUUCGAAGAUUCCCGAAUAGGGCAACCUCUUGUACUGCCUAUUGAAUUCAUAGAUAGGUUAGAGAUAACCCGGUGAAUUGAAACAUCUUAGUAGCCGGAGGAAAAAAAAGCAAACGCGAUUCCCGUAGUAGCGGCGAGCGAACUGGGACCAGCCUAAACCAACUCGAAAUUCGAGUUGGGGUUGUGGGAAGAAAUAAAAAAUAUUAGACUCCUCUUGUUACCAUGUUUGAUGGUUAGAUUCGAAUAGAAUUCUCACCCUACCAUUGAAAAUGGUAGAGGAGAACUUUGUUCGAGUCAUGAGGAGAAAAAUUUAGUUAGACGAAGCAGCUGAAUCCUGCACCAAAGAUGGUGAAAGUCCAGUAGUUGAAAGCUAAAUGCUAAUAAUUUUUCUUAUCCCGAGUAGCAUGGGGCACGUGAAAUCCCGUGUGAAUCCACGAGGACCACCUCGUAAGGCUAAAUACUUCUGGGUGACCGAUAGUGAAAUAGUACCGCGAGGGAAAGGUGAAACAGAACCCCUGUAGGGGAGUGAAAUAGAACAUGAAACCGUAAGCUGACAAGCAGUGGGAGGACAAAAAGUCUGACCGCGUGCCUGUUGAAGAAUGAGCCGGCGACUUAUAGGGAGUGGCUUGGUUAAAGAAAAACAUCUGAAGCCAAAGCGAAAGCAAGUCUGAAAAGGGCGAAAAAGUCACUUCUUAUGGACCCGAACCCGGGUGAUCUAACCAUGACCAGGAUGAAGCUUGGGUAAGACCAAGUGGAAGUCCGAACCGACCGAUGUUGAAAAAUCGGCGGAUGAGUUGUGGUUAGGGGUGAAAUGCCAAUCGAACUCGGAGCUAGCUGGUUCUCCCCGAAAUGCGUUGAGGCGCAGCGGUUGACGAAUUGGGCUGUCUAGGGGUAAAGCACUGUUUCGGUGCGGGCUGCGAGAGCGGUACCAAAUCGUAGCAAACUAAGAAUACUAGAUACUGCUUUCCGUCAACCAGUGAGACAGUGGGGGAUAAGCUUCAUUGUCGAGAGGGAAACAGCCCAGAUCAUCAGCUAAGGCCCCUAAAUGACUGCUAAGUGGCAAAGGAGGUGAGAAUGCACAGACAACCAGGAGGUUUGCUUAGAAGCAGCCACCCUUAAAAGAGUGCGUAAUAGCUCACUGGUUGAGCGUUUUUGCGCCGAAAAUGAACGGGACUAAGCAGUCUGCCGAAGCUGUGGGAUUUUGAAAUAAUCUGAACCAAGUUCAGACAAAGGAACAGUCUUUUGUUUGAUUCUUACCAUCUACGAUGGUCUGAAUUCUCCUUGUGGUAACCUAGAAGGUAACCCAUAAAGGACAAGAACUCUGUUCGAUUCGAAUAGAAUUCUCACCCAUGAGGAGUCAUCCUAAUCAUUUUCAAUGAUUGAGGAACUCUGUUCAAACAAAUUAGAAAUUUUUAUCCUCUGAUGAUAAUUUUUCUAAUUUUUUACUAAUUUUCAAAAUCGGUAGGGGAGCGUUCCGCUCUAGGGUGAAGCAUAAACGAAAGUUAAUGUGGACAAAGCGGAAGUGAGAAUGUCGGCUUGAGUAACGCAAACAUUGGUGAGAAUCCAAUGCCCCGAAAACCUAAGGGUUCCUCCACUAGGUUCGUCCAUGGAGGGUGAGUCAGGUCCUAAGGCCAGGCCGAAAGGCGUAGUCGAUGGAAAACAGGUUAAUAUUCCUGUACUUUUUUUUGGUUAGUACCGAGGGACGAAGUAGGCAAAAGUUAACCAAAAUUUGGUUCUUGGUGGAAGCAUUCAAGGUGUUGAGAGGUAGAAAAAAAACUAUCCUUGAGCUAAGGUGCGAUACGAUUUUAUUCCCUGAAUUGUUAUUUGAAUUUAUUCUGAAAGCAGUUCAUAUUAAAAUUUAACUAAUUGUCACAUUUCCUAGAAAAGCUCGCACUACUGUGUACCAAAAAUUACCUGUACCCGAAACCGACACAGGUAGGUGGGUAGAGUAUACCUAGGGGCGCGAGAUAACUCUCUCUAAGGAACUCGGCAAAAUGACCCCGUAACUUCGGGAGAAGGGGUACCCUUAUACAAAAUGAGGGUCGCAGUGACCAGGCCCAGGCGACUGUUUACCAAAAACACAGGUCUCCGCUAAGUCGUAAGACAACAUAUGGGGGCUGACGCCUGCCCAGUGCCAGAAGGUGAAGGAAGUUGGUUAUUCUUCGGAAAAAGCUAACAACCGAAGCCCUGGUGAACGGCGGCCGUAACUAUAACGGUCCUAAGGUAGCGAAAUUCCUUGUCGGGUAAGUUCCGACCCGCACGAAAGGCGUAACGAUCUGGGCACUGUCUCGGAGAGAGACUCGGUGAAAUAGACAUGUCCGUGAAGAUGCGGACUUCCUGCACCUGGACAGAAAGACCCUAUGAAGCUUGACUGUAGCCUGGAAUUGGUUUCGGGCUCUUCUUGCGCAGCCUAGGUGGGAGGCAUUGAAAAUUUUCUUCCGGGAAAAUUAGAGCCAUCAGUGAGAGACCACUCUAGAAGAGCUAGAAUUCUAAUAGUCAUCCUUGAAUCAGGAUGCUUGACAGUUUCAGGUGGGCAGUUUGACUGGGGCGGUCGCCUCCUAAAAAGUAACGGAGGCGUGCAAAGGUUUCCUCAGGCUGGACGGAAAUCAGCCGAAGAGUGUAAAGGCAGAAGGAAGCUUGACUGCAAGACCUACAAGUCGAGCAGGGGCGAAAGCCGGCCUUAGUGAUCCGACGGUACCGAGUGGAAGGGCCGUCGCUCAACGGAUAAAAGUUACUCUAGGGAUAACAGGCUGAUCUUCCCCAAGAGUUCACAUCGACGGGAAGGUUUGGCACCUCGAUGUCGGCUCAUCGCAACCUGGGGCGGUAGUACGUCCCAAGGGUUGGGCUGUUCGCCCAUGAAAGCGGUACGUGAGCUGGGUUCAGAACGUCGUGAGACAGUUCGGUCCAUAUCCGGUGUAGGCGGUAGAGCAUUGAGAGGAGCCUUCCAUUGUACGAGAGGACCUGGAAGGACACACCACUAGUAUACCAGUUCUCGUGCCAACGGGAAACGCUGGGUAGCCAAGUGUGGAGUGGAUAACUGCUGAAAGCAUCUAAGUAGGAAGCCCACCUCAAGAUGAGUGCUCUCUCGAGGUCACGGUAAGACUAGCCGUUUGAUAGGUGUUAAGUGUAAGGUCAGUAAUGGCUGAAGCUGAGACAUCCUAAUAGACCGAUUGAUUUUGAU
This 3281-nucleotide ribosomal RNA is filed under the name Neocystis brevis. RNAcentral describes it as "LSU rRNA". It matches the Rfam family "Bacterial large subunit ribosomal RNA". The record is from RNAcentral. Lineage: Eukaryota; Viridiplantae; Chlorophyta; Chlorophyceae; Sphaeropleales; Radiococcaceae.